GAUAAACUGUUGGAAAAAGAUGCAUUUUAAUUUUUAUACAAAACUAAUUAUCUUGGCUUUAAAUUAUUUGGCUCGAAAAUUUCAGAAUUCAAACCGCCUAUCUGUCGUCUCAUGAAAAUUGUAGACCGCCACAAAUUAGAAAAUUUCAAAAUUUUUAACGAUGUUAAUGGAAAAUUUCAGACCACCAUUACAUCAAUUCCCCAAGUGACAUCUCUUCUCUCACUCUCGUGGCUGAAUCCUUCCCUGUGACGAGACUCACCAAACACCACGGUAGCCCGAAGAUUCCCCAAGUCGUAGCCCACGGCAUUUCGCGCCUUAACGUUGUCGCGGAGUCUUCCCUUGGACUUCACCGGCCGCCGACUUCGUCUCUUCUUCACCGGUUAUCUUCCAUCCGUGCGUUCCUCAGAAACUUACAAUGUCAUUGCUUAUAAAGAUACACCACAAUUAACACCACACAAGAGAUAAAACAUCAACUGGGAGAACAUUUCGUCUCUUGCAACUGUAGGCCUCACUGAAGAAGAAUCAAUAGAGCAAGGAGAAGACUGCUUUUUUGAGAUAUAUAUUUUAACUUAUAAAGAUUUUUUAUAUAUAUAUAUAUAUAUAUUUAUAUAUAUAUAAUCUAACUUGACAAAUGUAUGAAUUUGUUUGUAAGAAUAUUGUUACUGUUAUUAUAUUUUUUUAUCAUUGUAAAUCGAAAAUCUAAAUUCUAAAAAUGUAGGGGGAGAAUAGCAUUAACAUUUGUAAUUUCUCUCUUACCUCAUAUUGUACGUCGGUUUAUAACUGUCAUUUAUAGUAGUGUAUUUUGUUGGUUAUAA
Long non-coding RNA from Cannabis sativa, 815 nucleotides. RefSeq lists it as uncharacterized. The transcript has 3 exons. NCBI's taxonomy places the organism in Eukaryota, Viridiplantae, Streptophyta, Magnoliopsida, Rosales, Cannabaceae. The record is from RefSeq and is a predicted model, not a curated record.